UGAACGCUGGCGGCGUGCCUAAUACAUGCAAAUCGAGCGACCAGAUGAGGAGCUUGCUCCUCUGACGUUAGCGGCGGACGGGUGAGUAACACGUGGAUAACCUACCUAUAAGACUGGGAUAACUUCGGGAAACCGGAGCUAAUACCGGAUAAUAUAUUGAACCGCAUGGUUCAAUAGUGAAAGACGGUUUUGCUGUCACUUAUAGAUGGAUCCGCGCCGCAUUAGCUAGUUGGUAAGGUAACGGCUUACCAAGGCAACGAUGCGUAGCCGACCUGAGAGGGUGAUCGGCCACACUGGAACUGAGACACGGUCCAGACUCCUACGGGAGGCAGCAGUAGGGAAUCUUCCGCAAUGGGCGAAAGCCUGACGGAGCAACGCCGCGUGAGUGAUGAAGGUCUUCGGAUCGUAAAACUCUGUUAUUAGGGAAGAACAAAUGUGUAAGUAACUAUGCACGUCUUGACGGUACCUAAUCAGAAAGCCACGGCUAACUACGUG
RNAcentral lists this ribosomal RNA (495 nucleotides) under uncultured bacterium. RNAcentral describes it as "partial 16S ribosomal RNA". It matches the Rfam family "Bacterial small subunit ribosomal RNA", at positions 30 to 507 of the family's 1533-position model. The record is from RNAcentral.